RNAcentral lists this ribosomal RNA (491 nucleotides) under uncultured bacterium. RNAcentral describes it as "bacterial SSU rRNA". It matches the Rfam family "Bacterial small subunit ribosomal RNA", at positions 28 to 520 of the family's 1533-position model. The record is from RNAcentral.
GAUGAACGCUAGCGGCAGGCUUAACACAUGCAAGUCGAGGGGUAUAGUUCUUCGGAACUAGAGACCGGCGCACGGGUGCGUAACGCGUAUGCAAUCUACCUUUCACAAAGGGAUAGCCCAGAGAAAUUUGGAUUAAUACCUUAUAGUAAUACGACUUGGCAUCAAGAUGUAUUUAAAGAUUUAUCGGUGAAAGAUGAGCAUGCGUCCAUUAGCUAGUUGGUAAGGUAACGGCUUACCAAGGCUACGAUGGGUAGGGGUCCUGAGAGGGAGAUCCCCCACACUGGUACUGAGACACGGACCAGACUCCUACGGGAGGCAGCAGUGAGGAAUAUUGGACAAUGGGCGCAAGCCUGAUCCAGCCAUGCCGCGUGCAGGAUGACGGUCCUAUGGAUUGUAAACUGCUUUUAUACAGGAAGAAACACUACUUCGUGAAGUAGCUUGACGGUACUGUAAGAAUAAGGAUCGGCUAACUCCGUGCCAGCAGCCGACGG